Molecule: transfer RNA, 74 nt
Filed under: Caudoviricetes sp.
Lineage: Duplodnaviria; Heunggongvirae; Uroviricota; Caudoviricetes
Description: tRNA-Gly
Rfam family: tRNA
About the family: Transfer RNA (tRNA) molecules are approximately 80 nucleotides in length. Their secondary structure includes four short double-helical elements and three loops (D, anti-codon, and T loops).
Source: RNAcentral
CCGGUAUUGGUGUAGUGGCAGCACAUCAGUCCUCCAAACUGAGAGCGCGAGUUCGACCCUCGUAUACCGGUCCA